Suricata suricatta (meerkat) is the source of this 303-nucleotide long non-coding RNA. RefSeq lists it as uncharacterized. NCBI's taxonomy places the organism in Eukaryota, Metazoa, Chordata, Mammalia, Carnivora, Herpestidae. The transcript is spliced from 2 exons. The record is from RefSeq and is a predicted model, not a curated record.
GGGUAAUCCCCAAAAGAUCUAGAGCUGGUGCCGCACAGAGGCCGAGGCUGCGGAUGUGCUGCGGCAGGGCGAGGAGCGCUGGUGAAAGUGUCAAUGUGUGCAUGCAGAGAGGCCGCGUACGUGUCUGCAGAUGGACAGAACGCUGUCUGACGCGAGACAAGCCAGACCAUUACCAGGAGCUUCCUCUGGAGAGUUGGACUCCGUGUGGGAACUACGGCCAUUUUUAACCUUUUAUAACAAGCACGCGUGUUAGUGUUUUUAAAAUGGUUAUUAAAGAGACUAAUAAGUUUGUGCAAAAUAAAA